UUUUAAAAGACCUAGCAAUAGGUAUGCUUAGGGAGGAGCUUGCGUCACAUUAGUUAGUUGGUGGGGUAAAGGCCUACCAAGACUAUGAUGUGUAGCCGGGCUGAGAGGUUGAACGGCCACAUUGGGACUGAGACACGGCCCAAACUCCUACGGGAGGCAGCAGUAGGGAAUUUUCGGCAAUGGAGGAAACUCUGACCGAGCAACGCCGCGUGAACGAUGAAGUAUUUCGGUACGUAAAGUUCUUUUAUUAGGGAAGAAUAAAUGAUGGAAAAAUCAUUCUGACGGUACCUAAUGAAUAAGCCCCGGCUAACUAUGUGCCAGCAGCCGCGGUAAUACAUAGGGGGCAAGCGUUAUCCGGAAUUAUUGGGCGUAAAGGGUGCGUAGGCGGUUAAAUAAGUUUAUGGUCUAAGUGCAAUGCUUAACAUUGUGAUGCUAUAAAAACUGUUUAGCUAGAGUAAGAUAGAGGCAAGUGGAAUUCCAUGUGUAGUGGUAAAAUGCGUAAAUAUAUGGAGGAACACCAGUAGCGAAGGCGGCUUGCUGGGUCUUUACUGACGCUGAGGCACGAAAGCGUGGGGAGCAAACAGGAUUAGAUACCCUGGUAGUCCACGCCGUAAACGAUGAGUACUAAAUGUUGGGUAAAACCAGUGUUGAAGUUAACACAUUAAGUACUCCGCCUGAGUAGUACGUACGCAAGUAUGAAACUUAAAGGAAUUGACGGGACUCCGCACAAGCGGUGGAUCAUGUUGUUUAAUUCGAAGGUACCCGAAAAACCUCACCAGGUCUUGACAUGCUUCUGCAAAGCUGUAGAAACACAGUGGAGGUUAUCAGUUGCACAGGUGGUGCAUGGUUGUCGUCAGCUCGUGUCGUGAGAUGUUGGGUUAAGUCCCGCAACGAGCGCAACCCUUAUUGUUAGUUGCCAGCACGUAAUGGUGGGGACUUUAGCAAGACUGCCAGUGAUAAAUUGGAGGAAGGUGGGGACGACGUCAAAUCAUCAUGCCCCUUAUGACCUGGGCUACAAACGUGAUACAA
This 1029-nucleotide ribosomal RNA is filed under the name Lethal wilt oil palm phytoplasma. RNAcentral's name for it is "bacterial SSU rRNA". It matches the Rfam family "Bacterial small subunit ribosomal RNA", at positions 186 to 1230 of the family's 1533-position model. Lineage: Bacteria; Bacillati; Mycoplasmatota; Mollicutes; Acholeplasmatales; Acholeplasmataceae. The record is from RNAcentral.